Molecule: ribosomal RNA, 1371 nt
Filed under: uncultured bacterium
Lineage: Bacteria
Description: bacterial SSU rRNA
Rfam family: Bacterial small subunit ribosomal RNA
Source: RNAcentral
GAUGAACGCUGGCGGCGUGCCUAAUACAUGCAAGUCGAGCGAACGGACGAGAAGCUUGCUCCUUUGACGUUAGCGGCGGACGGGUGAGUAACACGUGGGUAACCUACCUAUAAGACUGGGAUAACUUCGGGAAACCGGAGCUAAUACCGGAUAAUAUUUCGAACCGCAUGGUUCGAUAGUGAAAGAUGGCUUUGCUAUCACUUAUAGAUGGACCUGCGCCGUAUUAGCUAGUUGGUAAGGUAACGGCUUACCAAGGCAACGAUACGUAGCCGACCUGAGAGGGUGAUCGGCCACACUGGAACUGAGACACGGUCCAGACUCCUACGGGAGGCAGCAGUAGGGAAUCUUCCGCAAUGGGCGAAAGCCUGACGGAGCAACGCCGCGUGAGUGAUGAAGGUCUUCCGAUCGUAAAACUCUGUUAUUAGGGAAAGACAAACGUGUAAGUAACUGUGCACGUCUUGACGGUACCUAAUCAGAAAGCCACGGCUAAAUACGUGCCAGCAGCCGCGGUAAUACGUAAGUGGCAAGCGUUAUCCGGAAAUAUUGGGCGUAAAGCGCGCGUAGCGGUUUUUUAGUCUGAUGUGAAAGCCCACGGCUCAACCCCUGGAGGGUCAUUGGAAACUGGAAAACUUGAGUGCAGAAGAGGAAAGUGGAAUUCCAUGUGUAGCGGUGAAAUGCGCAGAGAUAUGGAGGAACACCAGUGGCGAAGGCGACUUUCUGGUCUGUAACUGACGCUGAUGUGCGAAAGCGUGGGGAUCAAACAGGAUUAGAUACCCUGGUAGUCCACGCCGUAAACGAUGAGUGCUAAGUGUUAGGGGGUUUCCGCCCCUUAGUGCUGCAGCUAACGCAUUAGACACUCCGCCUGGGGAGUACGACCGCAGGGUUGAAACUCAAAGGAAUUGACGGGGACCCGCACAAGCGGUGGAGCAUGUGGUUUAAUUCGAAGCAACGCGAAGAACCUUACCAAAUCUUGACAUCCUUUGACAACUCUAGAGAUAGAGCCUUCCCCUUCGGGGGACAAAGUGACAGGUGGUGCAUGGUUGUCGUCAGCUCGUGUCGUGAGAUGUUGGGUUAAGUCCCGCAACGAGCGCAACCCUUAAGCUUAGUUGCCAUCAUUAAGUUGGGCACUCUAAGUUGACUGCCGGUGACAAACCGGAGGAAGGUGGGGAUGACGUCAAAUCAUCAUGCCCCUUAUGAUUUGGGCUACACACGUGCUACAAUGGACAAUACAAAGGGCAGCGAAACCGCGAGGUCAAGCAAAUCCCAUAAAGUUGUUCUCAGUUCGGAUUGUAGUCUGCAACUCGACUACAUGAAGCUGGAAUCGCUAGUAAUCGUAGAUCAGCAUGCUACGGUGAAUACGUUCCCGGGUCU